This 788-nucleotide long non-coding RNA is filed under the name Nicotiana benthamiana. RNAcentral describes it as "long non-coding RNA (NBEN_LNC019445)". The record is from RNAcentral. Lineage: Eukaryota; Viridiplantae; Streptophyta; Magnoliopsida; Solanales; Solanaceae.
UUUUGGUUACUGCCACAAUUAUUCUAAAGCUCAACAAUAGUCUAGCAAAAUCAUCUUACAAAAAUAAAGAACAAGAACUUAAGAUAGAAAAAAAAAGAGUUUUCAUAUAGCACAAACAAAUAAACUAGAGAUGAGGUAAAGAGAAUUAACACAACAUUCAACCAAAACAGAGCAAAAUAUAUUCACCAGAUUACUAAAAUCAUGAAAUUAAGCCCAUAUAGUAAAACAAAGAGAAAUGAACCUCAAUGGCGAGAGUUUCUUCCAGAUUAGAGGAACUUCGGGCUUACAAUUUAUCCAAAUGAAGAGUGACAACAUUCAUCAAUAAAAAUCGAGUAUCAACCGAAAAAAUCAACAGGAACGCGAAUCAGACACGGAACAUCGAUUUAAACCAGCUCCAUCUCACCAAUGAAAUUCAAACCCGAAAUCGGACUUAAAAAUCGGAAUCGUUGACAGAAAUCGGCUCAUCGGACCUUUUGAUGGAAGUCGUGUACUUGACUGAUUUUAGCUGGAGUGAAUGGGUGUUCGGAUGGAUUGAGGGUGGUUCAGAUAGCUAUUUUGCUGGAGAAGAAGAGUUAUUGUAGUGGAAGUUUGUUUCUCACAAUUAAAGAACAACGCUCUUAUGCUAAAAGAGACGAAAAAGCUAUGGAAGUGAAGGUGAUAGCUGAGUAUUCAUGGAGCCUUUUUUGUUCCUUUUCAUGGCCAAAUUGAAGAAGGUCAAAUUCCCUUUGUGCUAAGUUGGUCCCGUUCUUCGGUUUUUUUUCCUUUUUCUUAGAGGUCAAUUGUAAGUA